UGUCCAACCCCGCCUUCCUACAGGUUGCAGUGAGAGGCUUCUCAAAUGCUGUAGUUUGAUAACAGGGUAUAGAACAAAUUAUUUACACUGAAAUACAUUGUGUUCUCUGCCGAUGACAAGACAGAGAAGAGAAAAUUACAUGAUGUGCUGUUUAACAGAACCCUUCUAUGUGGAAGAUUUUCAGUUUGUUUUAUAAGGAUUAUAACCAUAAAUCUUAGCCUGGGAACAGGGCACCGAUGCUCAUGAGGACAACCCAAGUCAGGAAAGGGAAGACACCAGUACUCCCAGAGGAGGGGAACUUUCUGAAAGAGAAAAAUGGCGUGAACCACUUGGCGUCUAGCCCCAGUGCGGAAGGGAGGUUCACGAUAGAACCGCAGAAGACCAAACACUCGUCACAUCAGCAGGCACUGGUCACUGGCUGGAAAUAGCAGAUCUCACUCUAACAAAUGAGAGCAGAUGGCAUUGAGGAUGAAGUACGUGAGCCUCUGCCAGAACCCGAUCCAGCCAUCAGGUUUAGCCUGUGAAGCUGUCUUACAGGAGACAGCACAGGCUUAAAAGCUAGUGAACCGUACUGGAGCUCGUGUGCAUGACAGAUAACGCUCACACACACCCAUAAUCCUGAAGAAAAUAGCAGGGUG
This is a long non-coding RNA of Paramormyrops kingsleyae, 638 nucleotides long. RefSeq lists it as uncharacterized. NCBI's taxonomy places the organism in Eukaryota, Metazoa, Chordata, Actinopteri, Osteoglossiformes, Mormyridae. The record is from RefSeq and is a predicted model, not a curated record.